CCUACGGGCGGCAGCAGUGGGGAAUAUUGGACAAUGGGGGCAACCCUGAUCCAGCCAUGCCGCGUGUGUGAAGAAGGCCCUCGGGUUGUAAAGCACUUUCAGUGAGGAAGAACGCCUGGUGGUUAAUACCCAUCAGGAAAGACAUCACUCACAGAAGAAGCACCGGCUAACUCCGUGCCAGCAGCCGCGGUAAUACGGAGGGUGCGAGCGUUAAUCGGAAUUACUGGGCGUAAAGCGCGCGUAGGUGGCUUGAUAAGCCGGUUGUGAAAGCCCCGGGCUCAACCUGGGAACGACAUCCGGAACUGUCAAGCUAGAGUGCAGGAGAGGAAGGUAGAAUUCCCGGUGUAGCGGUGAAAUGCGUAGAGAUCGGGAGGAAUACCAGUGGCGAAGGCGGCCUUCUGGACUGACACUGACACUGAGGUGCGAAAGCGUGGGUAGCAAACAGGAUUAGAUACCCCAGUAGUC
Molecule: ribosomal RNA, 465 nt
Filed under: Vreelandella stevensii
Lineage: Bacteria; Pseudomonadati; Pseudomonadota; Gammaproteobacteria; Oceanospirillales; Halomonadaceae
Description: partial 16S ribosomal RNA
Rfam family: Bacterial small subunit ribosomal RNA
Source: RNAcentral